Molecule: ribosomal RNA, 251 nt
Filed under: uncultured prokaryote
Description: partial 16S rRNA
Rfam family: Bacterial small subunit ribosomal RNA
Source: RNAcentral
ACGUAGGUGGCAAGCGUUAUCCGGAUUUACUGGGUGUAAAGGGCGUGUAGGCGGGACUGCACGUCAGAUGUGAAAUUCCAGGGCUCAACCCUGGACCUGCAUUUGAAACUGUGUUUCUUGAGUGAUGGAGAGGCAGGCGGAAUUCCCUGUGUGGCGGUGAAAUGCGUAGAUAUAAGGAGGAACACCAGGGGCGAAGGCGGCCUGCUGGACAUGAACUGACACUGAGGCGCGUAAGCGUGGUGAGCAAACAG